UAUCUUGGUGAGAAAGCGAACCUUCGGGGCAGCCAUCGGAUACUCUUCAGGUAAGAAAAGUUCAAGCUUGAAAACUCCUCCUUCAUAUGGGGACUGCGUCGGCCCGAGAAUCAUCACGUUGAAGUACCUCAUGUUCUCCUCCGACGGGGAAGCGCUGAUCCCAGGCGCUGGCUCGCUGAGGAGGCGCUGCGUCUCCUUGAUGAUCCGACGAGGGAGAUUACUGUUCGCCAUCGAUCCGGCGGCUAGGGUUUCGGAGAGGGCGAGGUGGGGGAGGGGAAGCGACUGCGGGAAG
RNAcentral lists this unclassified non-coding RNA (292 nucleotides) under Hevea brasiliensis (rubber tree). Lineage: Eukaryota; Viridiplantae; Streptophyta; Magnoliopsida; Malpighiales; Euphorbiaceae. The record is from RNAcentral.